RNAcentral lists this long non-coding RNA (434 nucleotides) under Monodelphis domestica (gray short-tailed opossum). RNAcentral describes it as "lncRNA (ENSMODG00000039878.1)". The record is from RNAcentral. Lineage: Eukaryota; Metazoa; Chordata; Mammalia; Didelphimorphia; Didelphidae.
UGGGCAAAGAUAUUGAAGUGGUCUGCCAUUUCCUUCUCCAUCUCAUUGGAGUACUGAAGAAACUGAGGCAAACUGUGCCCAGGGUCACAUAGCUAAUAAAUGUCUGAGGCUAUAUUUGAACUUGAGGAGAAUGACUCCAGUACCCUAUUCAUUAUAUCACCUAACAACCCUCCAAGCACUCAUAGUAGAGAAACAAGAGCUGGAACACUACUGCCUCCAAGGACUAAAGAGAGGAAUGCCCCCAGCAUACUGAGAGUAGAUCCCAUGGAAGAUUUAUAAAAAAGAUGUGGAGAGAGCUGCACAGGAUGAUGGAAGAAAGUUGGUUUAACAAUCUCCACCUUUGGAGAGAGUCCCUGCAUCAAUGCAUUCACAGGACCAUUAGAGUAUUAAAAUACAGAUAAUGGAAGAACAAUAAUAUUUGUAUGAAAUAAACU